CAUAUUGACCUUGACCAACGUAUUUGCGAUUUUUCAUUCCGUAAACAACAUCAACCGGAUAAAAGUUCAGCGUUUACAGAUAUCCAGUCCAUAUAUGCAGUUGGAGCUGAUAGCAUGUAUGCCAUGUACAUGUACAUGUAGAGUUACACCUUCAUCAUGGAUAUUUCAAUGUGGCCGUCAUUUGAACCUCAAAUUCUUGUGUAAAACAAACUACGGGAAAGAGUUAAGCAUAAAGAUGUUAUCAUCUAAUGAACUACCAAGCUAAUUGACAUUUCGUGGACAUUCACCUGAAUCCUCAGGAAGACAUGAUUGCAGUCUGUGCUAAAGUGUUUGAAGAAAUUAUUAUUAUGCCCCCCUUCGAGGGGUAUAUUGCUUUGCUCAGGUCGGUCGGUCCGUUGGUAGACCAAAGCUUGUCCGAGUGAUAACUGAACAAUUCCUAGACGAAGGGGCAUCAAACUUGACAUGUAGGUUGGGCCUGACCAGUAGAUGAACUCUAUUGAUUUUGGGACCCAUCGGGUCAAAGGUCUAGGUCACAGUGACCUUUAAUGUUGUAAUAAUUUUAAAGCUUGUCCGAGUGAUAAUUCAACAAUGCCUAGACCUAUGGUCAUCAAUCUUGAUAUGGAAGUUGGGCCUGACCAGUAGGUGACCCCUUUUGUUUUUGGGAGUCAUCGGGCCAAAGGUCAAGGUCACAGUGACCUUGAAUGGUAAAAGGUUGUCCGUGUGAUAACUCGACAAUGCCUGCACCCAAGACCCUCAUACUUGACUUGGAGUUGCGUCUGACCUGUAGAUGACCCCUUGUGGUUUUAGGAGUCAUCGGGUCAAAGGUCAAGGUCACAGUGACAUUGAACGAAAAAAGAGUGUCUGUGUGAUAACUUGUCAAUGCCUGCACCCAUGGCCCUCAAACUUGACAUUUAGAUUUUUGGUGACCAGCUGAUGACUCUUAUGGAUUUUGAGGUCAUGGAGUCAAAGGUCAUGGUCAUAACACACUCUAUCCUCACACUUUGAAUGGUCAUAUUCUUAAAACUGCCUCAACGGCAUCCAAUGUCAGUGACAAAUCAGCUGUCAUUUUGGUCCAUGCAUAUUUCAUUCAAUUUACCAUAUAAUCCUGACAAUAUGGCGCUCAGGGUAGGGUGGGGCAUUAUGUUUAACAAACAUCUCUUGUUAUCAUUGAAAUAAAUAUGCAGUGUUUAUAGAAAAAAAUAAUUUUAUGU
This is a long non-coding RNA of Mya arenaria, 1211 nucleotides long. RefSeq lists it as uncharacterized. Lineage: Eukaryota; Metazoa; Mollusca; Bivalvia; Myida; Myidae. The transcript has 3 exons. The record is from RefSeq and is a predicted model, not a curated record.